GGAAGAGCGGCAGAGCGGUUGAAUGCACUGAUCUUGAAAUUCGGCGAUGGGCAACCUCCGGGGGUUCGAAUCCCACCUCCACCA
This 84-nucleotide transfer RNA is filed under the name Azotobacter beijerinckii. RNAcentral's name for it is "tRNA_Ser_TGA". It matches the Rfam family "tRNA". Rfam says of the family: Transfer RNA (tRNA) molecules are approximately 80 nucleotides in length. Their secondary structure includes four short double-helical elements and three loops (D, anti-codon, and T loops). Further hydrogen bonds mediate the characteristic L-shaped molecular structure. tRNAs have two regions of fundamental functional importance: the anti-codon, which is responsible for specific mRNA codon recognition, and the 3' end, to which the tRNAs corresponding amino acid is attached (by aminoacyl-tRNA synthetases). tRNAs cope with the degeneracy of the genetic code in two manners: having more than one tRNA (with a specific anti-codon) for a particular amino acid; and 'wobble' base-pairing, i.e. permitting non-standard base-pairing at the 3rd anti-codon position. Lineage: Bacteria; Pseudomonadati; Pseudomonadota; Gammaproteobacteria; Pseudomonadales; Pseudomonadaceae. RNAcentral also lists the same sequence under 1 other name. The record is from RNAcentral.